This 654-nucleotide ribosomal RNA is filed under the name uncultured cyanobacterium. Its description in RNAcentral is "bacterial SSU rRNA". It matches the Rfam family "Bacterial small subunit ribosomal RNA", at positions 365 to 1032 of the family's 1533-position model. Lineage: Bacteria; Bacillati; Cyanobacteriota. The record is from RNAcentral.
UCCGCAAUGGGCGAAAGCCUGACGGAGCAAUACCGCGUGAGGGAGGAAGGCUCUUGGGUUGUAAACCUCUUUUCUCAGGGAAGAAGAAAGUGACGGUACCUGAGGAAUAAGCAUCGGCUAACUCCGUGCCAGCAGCCGCGGUAAUACGGAGGAUGCAAGCGUUAUCCGGAAUGAUUGGGCGUAAAGGGUCCGCAGGUGGCAUUGUAAGUCUGCUGUUAAAGAGUCACGCUCAACGUGAUAAAAGCAGUGGAAACUACAAAGCUAGAGUAUGGUCGGGGCAGAGGGAAUUCCUGGUGUAGCGGUGAAAUGCGUAGAUAUCAGGAAGAACAUCGGUGGCGAAGGCGCUCUGCUAGGCCAAGACUGACACUGAGGGACGAAAGCUAGGGGAGCGAAUGGGAUUAGAUACCCCAGUAGUCCUAGCCGUAAACGAUGGAUACUAGGCGUAGCUCGUAUCGACCCGAGCUGUGCCGUAGCUAACGCGUUAAGUAUCCCGCCUGGGGAGUACGCAGGCAACUGUGAAACUCAAAGGAAUUGACGGGGGCCCGCACAAGCGGUGGAGUAUGUGGUUUAAUUCGAUGCAACGCGAAGAACCUUACCAAGGCUUGACAUGUCACGAAUUCUGUUGAAAGAUGGAAGUGCCUUCGGGAACGUGAA